GAUGAACGCUGGCGGCGUGCUUAACACAUGCAAGUCGAACGGGAAAUAUUUCAUUGAGACUUCGGUGGAUUUGAUUUAUUUCUAGUGGCGGACGGGUGAGUAACGCGUGGGUAACCUGCCUUAUACAGGGGGAUAACAGUCAGAAAUGGCUGCUAAUACCGCAUAAGCGCACAGAGCUGCAUGGCUCAGUGUGAAAAACUCCGGUGGUAUAAGAUGGACCCGCGUUGGAUUAGCUAGUUGGUGGGGUAACGGCCCACCAAGGCGACGAUCCAUAGCCGGCCUGGGAGGGUGACCGGCCAAAUGGGGAUGGGGACAGGGCCCAGACUCCAACGGGAGGCGGAAGUGGGAAAUAUUGAACAAUGGGGGAAACCCUGAUGCACGGACGCGGGGUGAAGGAAGAGGUAUCUCGGAAUGUAACCUCCUAUCAGCAGGGAGGAUGGUGCCGUAACCGGACUAAGAAGCCCGGCUAACUACGU
This 476-nucleotide ribosomal RNA is filed under the name uncultured bacterium. Its description in RNAcentral is "partial 16S ribosomal RNA". It matches the Rfam family "Bacterial small subunit ribosomal RNA", at positions 28 to 506 of the family's 1533-position model. The record is from RNAcentral.